GUUUCACAUAUUUAAAUCUGAAUUAUAGAAAAAAAUGGAAUGUUGUUAGCAGAAUCGAAACAGAAAAUGAUGAACACUUGAUUAUUUUCAGCAAUACAUAAAUUGGAUUGAGGGUCUGUGUAUUCACAUUAUUUGCAAAACUCUCCUUAUUCCUGUGAAGCGUGUGCUUUACAUCGAAGCUUGCUAUGCUUUAUAUCAGGGGCG
This 204-nucleotide long non-coding RNA is filed under the name Mytilus galloprovincialis (Mediterranean mussel). The record is from RNAcentral. Lineage: Eukaryota; Metazoa; Mollusca; Bivalvia; Mytilida; Mytilidae.